CCUACGGGUGACUGCAGUGGGGGAUAUUGCACAAUGGGGGAAACCCUGAUGCAGCGAUGCCGCGUGAAUGAAGACGGCCUUCGGGUUGUAAAGUUCUGUCGCAGGGGACGAAAAUGACGGUACCCUGCAAGAAAGCUCCGGCUAACUACGUGCCAGCAGCCGCGGUAAUACGUAGGGGGCAAGCGUUAUCCGGAUUUACUGGGUGUAAAGGGAGCGCAGGCGGUAUGGCAAGUCAGAUGUGAAAACCCAGGGCCCAACCCUGGGACUGCAUUUGAAACUGCCAUACUGGAGUGCCGGAGAGGUAAGUGGAAUUCCUAGUGUAGCGGUGAAAUGCGUAGAUAUUAGGAGGAACACCAGUGGCGAAGGCGGCUUACUGGACGGUAACUGACGCUGAGGCUCGAAAGCGUGGGGAGCAAACAGGAUUAGAUACCCCUGUAGUC
Molecule: ribosomal RNA, 440 nt
Filed under: uncultured bacterium
Lineage: Bacteria
Description: partial 16S ribosomal RNA
Rfam family: Bacterial small subunit ribosomal RNA
Source: RNAcentral